AGCUCCAGCCACCUCUUUAAGAGGAAACUGCUGGGCAGAUGGAGGAGGGCUAGUUGCGGAAAGAAACUGGAGUGAAGGUGAGGACAGGGGACUGCUGUCCCGAAGGAGUCCCGCUGACCCGGGUCUUCGGCACCAAAUGUCUCAUGCGUCCGUGUCAAGAGACCACCAAACAGGCUUUGUAUCUUCAGUUGCUUCAGGCCAUUUGAACGUAUAUGAGCCGGUCGUAGGGGAUAUGAUGGCUUAGCUUGGGCUCAGAGGCCUGAAAAUCGCCCCCACCAAUCACCCGUUUCCCCCAAUCUACCCUCCUGAAGGUCACUGACAAAGACUUCAUUGUCUCCUAGGAGAGGCUGCCAUAUAUCCAGGGCUGACGUAAUUCCAUCUUAAUAUCAAUUACAUUAUAAAAAUUUACCUCGUGCCUGAGGCCCCAGAGCCCAAGGGUGCAAAGCAGUAAUUGGUCAAAGUUCAACCUCCCUCCCACUCUGGGCUCAGACUGUCCCCUGAGGGCCUGUGUUUUCAGUCUCUUUCCAGAACCUUGGUGUGAACUUAGGUCUUGGCGUCGGGAUCCCUUUUCAUCACACCCAG
RNAcentral lists this small RNA (582 nucleotides) under Pan troglodytes (chimpanzee). RNAcentral's name for it is "processed transcript". Lineage: Eukaryota; Metazoa; Chordata; Mammalia; Primates; Hominidae. The record is from RNAcentral.